Molecule: ribosomal RNA, 512 nt
Filed under: Bethylidae sp.
Lineage: Eukaryota; Metazoa; Arthropoda; Insecta; Hymenoptera; Bethylidae
Description: partial large subunit ribosomal RNA
Source: RNAcentral
AGAACUUUGAAGAGAGAGUUCAAGAGUACGUGAAACCGUUCAGGGGUAAACCUGAGGAACCCGAAAGAUCGAAUGAGGAGAUUCAACGUCAGCGGUGCUGGCCUCGCGAAGACUUGUGAUCGCUCGGGGUUACUUCGGUAAUCCUCGGGAGACGCUGUCGUCGCGCCAAGCCAGUAUCGUCGGCGUGCACUUCUCCUCUAGUAGGACGUCGCGACCCGUUGGGUGCCGGACUAAGGCCUGGGCGGUAGCCUGUUUCGUCGCUUCGGCGCAUCGAGACAGACCCCUGGUUGCCAGACGCCGGCUGCCCGGCGGUACUCCCAUGGUAUCGGGCCGCAAAAUUUAACUGCGUCGGGCCCGUUGCAAGCGCGAUCAGCGUUUCACGGAGGUCGGACCUAGCGCCGUCCCCGUGCCUGGUCAGCUGUUGGCAAACGGUGUUCUCCGACUGGCCAAUUGAACGUGUGCGAUACCGGUCGGCGAUGCUACUGCUUUGGGUAAUCUCAGGACCCGUCUUG